Molecule: long non-coding RNA, 483 nt
Organism: Magnolia sinica
Lineage: Eukaryota; Viridiplantae; Streptophyta; Magnoliopsida; Magnoliales; Magnoliaceae
Exons: 3
Source: RefSeq, a predicted model, not a curated record
CAAGUGAAGUUCAUUGGGAUAUCUAAAACAGUUUAAAUUCAUUUUUAAAGAAAUGGGUUUGACUGAAUUGUUCCAUUUCAAUCGGCAAAUGUCACAUUGCCAUGCAUAUCCAUCAUGUCUUGUAGGUAUGCAAGGAUGAGUUCUACAUUAUGAAAGGUUGGCUGACCCAUUUUGUACUCUAUAUGUGAAUGGUACCUCUAUUGCUCAUAUUUUGAUGAAGUCCACAGUGGAUUCGUCCAGUAAACAGAGAAUUAGAUGGACUAGGGAACUGGACGGGUAGUUUGUCAAAGCCGUCAAUCAUCUUGGAGGUGUGGCGAGCAGGCUGACAAGCUAAAGAAGUCAUUGGAGGAUGAAAUUCAUUUUCUCAAGGGAAGGGUUUCAGAACUUGAAAGUGAUCUUGUGUCAAAGUCCACAGAAGUUCCAUCUGCAGUUUCAGGGAAAGAAGAAGCUCUAUCUUCUGCAUUUGCUGAAAUUGACUGUCUG